This is a long non-coding RNA of Corythoichthys intestinalis (scribbled pipefish), 17040 nucleotides long. RefSeq lists it as uncharacterized. The transcript is spliced from 3 exons. NCBI's taxonomy places the organism in Eukaryota, Metazoa, Chordata, Actinopteri, Syngnathiformes, Syngnathidae. The record is from RefSeq and is a predicted model, not a curated record.
UGCGGGGUAAGAGGUUUGGACGAAGCGGAAUCCGGAGCCGGGCUUGGAGUACCUACCGAGACCCAACGUGGGGCUUCGGGAACACGGAAUACAUCAAACGAUAAAUUGGGGAAAGACGUUGAGCAGUUCAAUCGGGCAGGAAGGGACCGAUCAGUAUCAGGGAACGGAUGUGAAACCCCCAAGGGUUGUGAGAGUGGAACCACCGAAUCCGGAGCCGGAACGGAAGCAUUUAGGGUUUCUAUUCAAUUCCAGUUGGCUGUCCUCCAAGUGUUUGCGCUUGGUCGUAGCCUUUUUAGGGAGUUCUGGAAUCCCCCGUUUUUCAUGCAGUUCAUGUUUGACCCGGGAUAAGGUUGUAGUAUCUAGAGUGGACAUCUUCCGUUUUGCCCAUUUGGAGGCCAUCUCAAAAGCGCGAGUCCAUUCCGUUAAGUCCAUUCCUUGGAUUUGCGCAAAAAUUUCCGAGCAGAUUUUAGAAUAAUGGUCUAAAAGGACCUUCAUGGUGGACUGGGACCAUUCCUUGGCAUUUUUAAUGUUCAAAGAUGCCGUUUCCGCCGAGAAAAUUGCUGGGCAAACGCCUUCCCUUAAUGACUUCUCCAGGAGUUGAAUGCCUCUGGGCAUUUUGUUUCUGGAGACAUGGUAAAAAUGAUGUGACGCUUUAAUAAGUUUCAUAAAAGUCUUGACCAAUUUAGGGAAUUCAUCACGUUGUUCGGCCAUAGCGAACCUAUAAGAAGUGAGAAGGUACGACUUAAUUGGAGCGUCAUAGGAUAUAUUAGUCCUAUGGCACUGGCAGGGUUAGGUUUUCUGAUUAUUUUUCACGAUGGCCUAUCCCAUGACAUGAGAAUUACUCAAGGCAUAUUUGGGAAGGAGCAUAUUUGGGAAGGAGCCAAAGGAAGGCACGGUCCAACACAUGGACUUAAUAUACCCCCGCUCCAGUCGUCUAUAGUUUGCAUAUUAGUCCACAUAGGGAUAUUUCUUCUCACUUAAAUCCCAAUUAGGUAGUAUGUAUAGAAAACAAAGAACCUACCUGAGAGCGGGAAAAAAGGUUUGAAAUAUUAAUUAAUGGCCCCCCCACGUCCAGAGAAAAACCCAGACAUAGUUUGGAAGAAGGAUCAAGGGAGUGCACUGGACGAAUACAUGGAUGUAAAUAUAUUAGCUUCCUAUGUAAUGAACAUAUUUAGGUCCAAGCCGACUGUCCCUCCCAAAGCGAAAUGGGAGAAGAACAGUAUUCGCCGUGUCCGGAAGACCUGGCGUGUGGCCUAAAAGAAGUUGUAGUCAUCCAGAUACUGGAAUAUACAUAAUCUAAUAAUAUGCCAUGAUCAGUUCACAGUCAAGAUUUAAACAAUCAUUGUGACCUCUUAGUAAGUGAUUAAUUUCCUAAUUUAAUUUUAAUUUCCCGCACACCCUGGGUCCCUCGCUCAUUAAGUGGACGAAUCAAUGUGUCGUGCGGUUAAGUAGGUAAGUCACAUUGGAGUUUUGUUGUCGGAAUCAAUCGGAAGUUAUGACCGUAAGCCGCCGUGGAGCGGCGCAAUACGGCUUACUACGUGGCUAACGGUCCAGUGAUUUUGAAGCUUCUGCCUAUUUUAAUCAUCUAAGUCAAAGUUUGGGAGACCAUUCAGCCAGUUAUAUUGGGUCUCAAUUUUAAGGUCCCUGAACUAACUCUAUUCCUAACACGCUUUUCGGGACACAUCAUCACAAGAUAUCCUUGAGUUCACAGAGUGUUUCGGCCAUUACAUCUAGACACCCUCACCCAAGGUCGGCCCACCGGAGUGAUCAAGCUCCAGCGUGCGUCCCGUGCCCAAUUUGAUCAUUAAGCCUAUUUUGGAGCCUCGAGGUUUAGAGCGAAUUUAUCAGCGCACGUCAGGUCUCAUGUCAGUCACACUAAGUCAGGUGAGUCCUCGUUUUCGAAGUUUAUUUCAAUGUUUGUUUCUAAUGGCCUGCUAUUUUAGAGUUAUUUUAGCGGGGACCCGACUUAGGCGGGAAUUUUAAGCGGUCCAAAAGUACGACUACUUACCGAAACCACAAAAAAUGUCGCUAUAGUGACGGUCGGAACCAACGAAGAGCGCCUAGGUCCUGGUGCGUCCACGGCCCAGUCCUAAACGACUAGGAGACGUAAAUUUAAGGGGAAGGUGGCAAUUUGAAGGAGUCCAAUGAGGAAUUUUUAGGGAAGCAAAACAAGCGUAUGUGGUGCAAAUGGACUUAUGCAUGAGUGAGGCUAAACGUAGAAGAACCGUAGUCGUACAAGACUGAGCAGCGUUUAAGGUCCUGAUGCCCUGGACCACCACACCUGCGUGCUGUCACUAGAGUCGGGACCCGAAUUGUGGUACUAUCGACCUCCGUCUGGACGGCUGCGUUCUCAAAAAAGGAGGACCCCUAAACCUCAAACGCCAUACUCAGGGGACAGUACUACCGGCGACACUCUGGUCGUCGUGUUCCUGGCACCCACAGAGAAUGGCCCGUACUAACGGCAGUCGGCCCGUCGUCGCUUUCCCACGUGACUCUGGAUGAAACUGAACUAACUGCGUCCAAAAGGACUGCGGGAUUCCAUUCAACAAAGUAGGCGACAACAUGUCGGUCAAGGGCCGGCAAGUCAGGUCCUGUGUUAGGAGCCAGACCCCCAGGCGCCCUCGUCCUCUCGGACGACAGGUGGGCGCACGGCAAGCGUCACGCAUACAAGUAACCCGCAGGGCAAACACCGUACUCACGGUCCGCUUUCCCGAGUACCCCUGGAAGACGGUACUCCCGGCAGCCAAGGCCAACGGUUUCACGUCCCCUUCAAAGUAGCGAGGGCCCAGCCUUCAACGGUGAGAGUGUGACGCAUACCGGCGACGGCAGCCAGGUGUUCAUUCUAGCGAAUUUCGGAGGACGAGCCCUCUCCAACGGCACGAAGAGCGCUGGAACACCAUUGCAGUCGAUGUCCGUCUUUUCCUUUUCAGAAUGUACGGUCCGGACCACCAGGGUUGCCACCAGGAAUCUUCACCGGAAAGAUGGCUUAAAAAUACGCAAAGUAAAAGAGAGUACUUACCGCGAGUGUCGUGGUGUCCGGACAGACUGAGAAAAAGACACCAAGUUGGGGUUGGGUUAUAAAGAAUCGUGGCGUCAAAGGAAGCCGCCAGUAUAAGCGGGUGGGAAAAGGAGGAGAUGCCCUCCAUUUCCAAGUAACAUCCACUUCAAAGAAACACUUCCGCCAUGGCUCGGUGCGUGGGAAGCGGACCAUCUUUGAAGGAGCUGCGCCAAUCCCAAUUGGGUGUGUGCGGUCCAGUGCGAAAAAGGCGUAAGGCCUUUGAAAGAGCCGUGCCAAUCCCGAUCGAGCUGGGGAAAAAAUGCGCCAGCCAACUGCGGGCACCAAAGGGCCGUGCUAACUUGAAGGGAACGUGUCAAUGUCGUUAAGGGGACACGCCCACAUCGCGCAGGCGCGAUCGUAACGUGCCGCUCACGUUCGGAUGUGAAGGGACAGAGCACAGCAAACAUUAGUACAAAAAAGCCGUCAUUUACCCGAGUUCAAUCAAGUGAACCCCAAAACCGUCGAGGGUACCCAGAACGUUACCAAUAUAUCCUCUACAGUUACCAAAAGAAGAAUUGCACCAUAAAAAACGCCUUUUUCUUUACUCAAGGCAAACAAAACGGCUCUGGUUGCCAGAUAUGCAGUCAGGGCCCAUGAAAAAAACGCUCCAAAUGGCAGCAAAUCAAAAGGGGCAGUAAAACACGCUGUGGAGCACCCCUCCCCGGCACAUACGAAGAGGACAGCCGAAGUGACCACUCAAAUCCGGCCAAAAAGUGGUGUGCAGCUAAAAAAAAUCCAGGAAAACCACGCCGGAGUCAUCUGACGUCAAUCCAGCAUUAUGUACAGUACUAUAACCCUUCUCAUGGCAACCCCGGCACAAAGCUGAGUUCAACGAAUACCCAGAACCCCACCAUAGUCCAAACGUAACCCCCGGUAGAAGUCAUAAAACGCUGUCCGCAACAGGCAACCCGGGAGUCAAAAAAGCCUAUAACUUGGGGUACGAACGUCACAGCCGGAUGGAAUCAAAAGUAAACUAAUCAGUACGGUCGGUUGCCCCCCCCCCCCCCCCCAGAGCGCUCGCUACUUACAAUAGGACCAAUUAAAAGUUUUAAUAACAUAUUCCAUGAACUGUUUUGAAAACCGUAGGCCAGAGGACAAAUAUGACAGGUGGUAUACCCCCAAACCAUACUAGUCCAGAUCGAGUGAUAUGGUUUUUUUCAGUUCAGUUUCAGUUUAUUCGCACAUCAUCAAAUACAGUACAUAAUAAUACGCUAGCAGUUCACAUGUUAAGACGCGCAUAGACCCAAGAGAAGGAACCCUGUCAAAACCACGUGACUGUCCAAAUUCGACCUGUCAUACCGAGGUUUUUCGUCAAUAACUUUCGAUCCGAAGAUCGUACGUUAAUUCCGACGGCAGAUAAGUUACAAAACCUCCCCAUUCCACAUCGUGUGAUAUGGUUUUUAACGCGAUCGGACCCACGGGAAGGAUUCCCACCGAAACUCCCAGUCACUAAAUGCGCACCUGUCAAAUCGAAGUUUACCGUUAAUAAAUCAAAAACUGCCGAUCGUAGAUGAAAUUUAACGGUAGUUUAGCCACAAAACCAUACCUCCCCACAUCACGUGGCCUGGUUUUUAACACGAUCAGACCCGUGGGAAGGAAACCUGUCAGUACCCGGAGUCCCCCUAAAUACGCACCUGUCAAACAGAGGUUUUCCGCCAAUAGCUAAAAACCCGCAGGGCGCAGGUAGAAAGUAACGACAGAUCAGCCACAAAACCAUACUAUUCCACCGCACGUGGUGUAGUUCUUAGCGCGAUCGGACCCAAGGAAGGGAUCCCGCCCAAAUAUAGAGUCUUCGUGAAUACGCACCAGUCAAACAGAAGUUUUCCGUAAAUAACUUACGAUCCGAAGGUCGUAUAGUAAUUAUAACGGUGGAUUAGUCAUAAAACCAUACUAUUCCACAUCGUGUGGUAUGGUUUUUGACGCGAUUGGACCCAUGGGAAAGAUACUUGUUCACGCCAUGAGUCCCACUAAAUGCGCACCUGCCAAUCCGAGAUUUCCCGUUUAUAACUCUAGAUCCGCAGAUUGUAGACUAAAUUAAACGAUGUAUUAGUCACAAAACCAUGCUGCUCCACAUGACAUGGUAUGGUUUUUAACACAAUCAGACCUGCCGGAAAGAAAUGCAACUGUCAAAUCGAGGCUUUUCGUUAAUAACUUAAAAACCGCAGAUCGUAGGUCAAAAUUAAAGACAGAUUAGCCACAUCACUCCACAUCCCGUGGUACGGUUUUUGACGUGAUCGGACCUACAGGAAGGAUUCCCGCCAAAUGCGCACCUAUCAAACCGAGAUUUUCCGUUAAUAACUCGAGAUCCGCGGAUUGUAGAUUAAUUUUAGCGGUGAAUUAGCCACAAAACCACACUACGCCACAUAAAAAGGUAUAGUAUUUAACGCAAUCAGGCCCGCGGGAAGGAAAUCCGUCCGCACACGGAAUUCCCCUAAAUGCGUAACUGUCAAAACGAGGUUUUUUGCUAAUAACUCAAAAACCACAAAUCCUAGGUUAAAAUUAACGACAGAUCAGCCACAAAACCACACCACUCCACAUCUCGCGGUGUGGUUUUUAGCGCGAUCGGACCCCUGGGGAGGAUCCCGUCAAAACCACGUGUCCUCCCACAUUUGCUCCGUCAAACCGAGGUUUUUCAUCAAUAACGUACGAUCCGAAGGUCGUUUGUUAAUUUUAACGGCAGAAAAGUCAUACAACCAUACCAAUACACCUUGUGCGGGAUGUUUUUUAACGCGAUCGGAUCUACGGGAAGGAUCCCCGUCAAAACCAUGAGUCCCGUUCAAUUCGGCCUGUCAAACCGGGGGCUUACGUCAAUAACUUGUGACCUGAAAGUCGUAUGUUAAUUUUGACGGCAGGUUAGACAUAAAACCACCUUAUUCGACAUCGUGUGGUAUGGUUUGUAACGCAAUCUGACCCAUGGGAAGGAACCCCGGCAAAAACCCGGAGUCCCCUCAAAUGCGCACCUGACAACCUGAGGACUUAUGUCAAUAACUUAGGAUUCGCAGAUCGUAGGUUAAAUUUAAGGGAAGAUCCGCCAUAAAACCCACAAUUCCACAUCGUGUGGCAUGGCCUUUAAUGCGAUCGGACCCACGGGAAGGAUCUCCGCCAAAAGCCCGAAAGCUGUCAAACCGUGGCUACCCGUUAGUAUUUCAAAAACUGCAGGUCGUGGGCUACUUUAACGUCAGAUUGGACACAGAACCACACCAUUCCACAUCAUGUGGUAGGGUUUCUAACGCGAUUGGAGCCAAGGAAAGGAAUCCCGUUAAGAUCUGGAAUCCCUUUAAAUCUGAAGCUGUCAAAACGAGAUAAUCCAUCUAGGCAGAGCGAGCGUGUGCGUGCGUAAACGCACGUGAGUAAAAGACAGAGUGUAGGGCUAGGAUGUGGUAGCGUAAAUGAUUGUGUGUGUGAGUUUACCUGUGUGUAUGCGUGAGUGUGUGUGCUUGUGCCAGGUUUGUCAUAGGAUGUGCCCGGGUAAGUGUGUGUGAGUAUGUGCGCGUGUGUGUGUGAGGUAGGUUCAGGGUUAGGGCAUGUAUAUACGCGUGUGUGUGAGUUAGGGGUAGGAUGUGUCAGGGUAAGUGCGCGUGUGUGUGUGCGUGUCUGUAUGUGUCAUUUCAGGCAAUCAGAACCAGAUUUGCAGACGUGCUGGAAAGCAAGAGUACCAUCUUGGCAGCUGUGACACUGCCGAAGUUUAAAUUACGUUGGCUGCGGACACAGGAAAAGAAGGAUAACGCCAAGGUACUUCUGCUGGCAGGGUGCCGGAAAAGUGUCCCAGAUGAAGACCAGCAACCAGGUACCAACACACAACCACAGCAGAGUCAGCACCGACUCCGCCAUAGAGGAUUUCUUUUCCUUUGAGGAUGAGGACGACACGUCUGCUUCUGCUGACAGCCGAGUCACCGACUUUUUCAAAUCUGUAGCACAAAGGAUUUACAGCCUAAAUGGGUUUCCACUGAUAAAGCAAUUGUCACUUAAAUACAAUGCAGCCAUUCCAUCCAGUGCCCAUGUAGAAAGACUCUGUAGCCUGGGGAAGCUUGUGUGAAGUAGAGUAGCAUAUGUCCGUUUGACGAGUUGUCUGACUAAAGACCAGGGGUCGCGUUAACCGAAUAUUUUCCGUGUUGACCGGUUUUUUAAAACGGUGACGGAAAAAAAUGAAGUCCAUCCGUCAUUCUGACAGGUUGCAAUUCACACCCCAGACCACAGGGUGGCGAGUGAGCAUAUUAAUUAGCUAUUGUGUCUCUUGAUGCAUGACGUCGUUGGCAUUACUCGGAAAAAUGUCAAGGCAACUGAGUGUCCGAAGUUUCUUUAAAAAGAUCCAAAACGACGAUGGAGUUGAUAAAAGAUGUGAAAAAAGAGGGAUUGAUGCAGUGGAGGAUGAAGGACACACAAGCAAUCAGCCCUCGGCAACUACUGAGCGAGCAAGCGGCAGCAAGGAGGUCAGGAGGGAGUACAGAGUUCAGUGGAAACAGGAGUUCUCCUGGCUGAGGAGGUAGGAUGGAAAAAUGUUUUGCGACAUAUGUAAAAAAGCCAAUAUGAGUAAUGGAUUUGUCCGAGGAGGCACGAACAUGCAGAAAUCAGCAUUAACUGACCACCAAAAUAGCCACAGCCACAUCGAGGCUUCAAGGAUGCUCAACCAGAGUGUGGCUAUGAUGAAGUAUGUGGAGAAAUCACAGGAUGCCUGCAACGAGGCAUUAAAAACAUAACUUAAGGUUGUGCUGCAUAUGGCUAAAACAAACACCCCGAGCCACCUGUAUCCUGACCUGAUUAAACUCUUACAGUCUGCCGGCUGUCCAAACCUUAACAGUGCACACAUAUACACCCACCAUGAGACAGUCAGUCAGAUGGAGGAGGCCUUAGCAAAGACCAUAACCAGCAAUAUUGAUGACCGCAUCGCCAACAGCAGAUAUGUUGGAAUUAUAAUAGAUGAAACCACUAAUAUCACUGUGGAGAAAAUGCUAAUCACAUACCUGACAAUUCAACAGAAAGGGGAACCUGAAACUGCGUUUAUCGGCAAUUACGCAAUUCCCCGUGGCACUGCUGAAUGCAUCACAGCAAAAUUAAAAGAUGUGCUGUCGGGCCGUGGCGUCGCUAUGGCUCGGGGUUUUAGUUUAGUUUAGUUUAUUCACACAUCGUAUCAUGGUACACACAUGAACAUGGUCAUAUAUACAAGCAAUUCAUCUGACAAGAUGUAUGAAAGGGACACUCCGAAUAAGCUAUUUAAAGCUUUUAGUAGGGGCCCAGUCAAACAGCACACACAUACACACAUUCAUACACAUACAUGCAAUUAACUAUGGGAAAUUUCAAAAUUCUGAUUACAUCGGAUUUGACAUGUGAUACCUUAGGAAUGUUAUUCAAAGACAGCAUAUUAAACAUACAUAGCAAGGAGAUGAGUUUUCAGUUUUUUCUUGAAAAUAGACAUGGAGUGUGACAUUUUAAGUGUUUCGUCCAGUUCAUUCCAGAUCUGUGGUCCUCUGCAUACAAUGCCAAAGCUUGUAGACUUUAGACUUCUGGUUUUUCCUGUGAUGUGAUUUUUUCUUCUAGUAGUAUAUGUGUGCUGAGGAGUACUGAUUGGGAUGAGAUCACUUAAUUUAUGGUUUAGUUUAUGGAUGACCUGAUACAUUAUGCAAGCAUUUUGAAAAUAGUUGUGUUCUUUUAGCCUCAGAAGGUGGUGGUGGUGAAAUAUUAAUUUAGUAGGAGCAUUGAACCCAGACCAUGUUAUGGCACGUAUGACUUUUUUCUGUAGGAGUUCAAGCUUUUUUAGAUAGGUUGGAAAUGUGUUGCACCAUAUGAUAUUACAAUAUUGUAAAUGUGGCUCAAAUAAAGAUUUAUACAGGGUGAGAAGUGCAGAUAGUGGGAUAUAAUGUCGCAGUUUAAAAAACAGCGCAGCAUAUUUCGACAGUUUAUUUGUGAGCUCAUCAAUAUGUUUUUUAAAAUUAAGGUACUCAUCAAUAUGGACUCCCAGGAAUUUUGUAGAGCAGACUCUUUCAAUGGUUUCUCCAUUUAUGUUUAAGCAGAUUUGUGUGAUGGGCUGUUUUUUAUUGGAGCGAAACACAAUGUAAUUUGUUUUAUUGAUAUUUAGAGAGAGUUUAUUACAUUUGAACCAUGUGUCUAUUUUCUUUAGUUCACUAUUUAUGAUUUGCUCAAGUGCAGAGGGAUGUUUAUGGGAAAAGAAUAAAUUUGUAUCAUCAGCAAAUAGUACUUUAUAAAAAACAGAUGAGGAAUUAACAAAGUCAUUAAUGUAAAGGAUGAAGAGGAGUGGCCCUAAGAUGGAGCCCUGGGGGACUCCAUGAUUGAGGAGUUUGUAUGAUGAUUCGGAAUUGUUAAUCUUGACAUACUGAUGUCUUCCAGAUAGAUAGCUACUGAACCACUCUAGUGCUAGGCCUCUAAUCCCAUAAUGUUGUAGUUUUUUAAUUAAUAUAUCGGUCUUAAUAGUGUCAAAUGCUUUGGAUAGGUCCAGAAAAACGCCGACUCCGUAGUCACCUUUGUCAAUUGUAUCGUGGAUUUUUUCUGUUAGAUCAAGUACUGCCAUAUAUGUGCUAUUUUUCUUUCUGAAUCCAUACUGCAAUGGUACAAUGAUGUCUAGCUUGUCUAGAUAGUUACUGAGUUUGUUGUAGACUACUCUUUCCAAUACCUUGGAAAGUGUAGGCAGAAUAGAUAUUGGUCGGUAAUUGCUCAGAUCAUUUUUAUCUCCAGAUUUUAAAAUUGGUGUGAUUCGUGCAAUUUUUGCUAUUUGAGGCACUACUCCAGAGAGUAGUGAUAAGUUGAUACAGUGGGUAAGAGGUGCAGUGAUAAUGUUGGAAAUGUGUUACAGAAUUAUGUUAGAAAUUCCAUCUGCUGCAGCUGAAUUUGAAUUCUUCAUGGUCAUGAUUAUUUUAUAGACUUCAUCAUAGGUAGUUGGAUUAAGGAAGAAGGAGCCCAGGUAAUUACCUGAUAAAUAAUCUCUUAAGGAGGCAUCUUGAGGCUGACUGAUUUUACUAGAUAUAUUACUACCAAUAGAGGCAAAGUAAUCAUUGAAUUUGUCAGUAAGACUGUUAUUUGUGGUGGCUGUAAUUAUAUUAUUAUCAUGCGCAGGGAACACAGGAGUUUUUUGUUUUUUGCUUAGGACCUUGUGUAGUACUCUCCAACAUUUCUUACAGUCACCCUGUGAUGCGUUUAUCAAUUCUGCAUAAUGGUUACUCUUUCUUUUCCUGAUAAUGUGUGUAAGUUUAUUUCUAUAAUUAAUAUAUUCAUUUUUAUUAUUAUAAUUAGGUGUGUUUAUAUAUCUUUUGUAUAAUUUAUUUUUGUGCUUAAUCGAUUUUAGUAUACCCUUGGUAAUCCAUGGAUUUUGAUUGAAUGUGCUGCAUUUGAUGGUUUUUUCAGGAAUUGUCCUUUCAAUCGAGUCACUUAUUUCUUUAGUAAGCGUCUCAAAUGCGGUAUUAGCAUCACUACAAAUGUAUAUUUUAUUCCAUGCCUUGUCCUUCAAAUCCUCACUCAAAUUAUACAGUUUCUUCAUUUAAUAUUUUUAUUUUUAUUUCAUGUUGUAUGGGUGAUGAUUUAGUAUGAAGGUCAGCAAAUAAUACAAUGGGGUAAUGAUCCGAAAUGUCAGAGAGUACGGCUCCAGACAUAAAUGUAGAGUUUUGAAUAUUUGUGAUGAUGUUAUCAAUAAUUGACUUUGUGGAUUGAGUGACUCUGGUAUAGGUGUUAAUUGUAGGUAAGAAGGAUGAAGAAUAUAAUACAUUUAUAAAUUCAUUCUGUGCAGUAGCAUCCCUAGAGAGGUCAAUAUUGAAGUCGCCAAGGAUGAUACAGCUCUUGCUUUUGCUGUUUAUAUAGAAUAAUGCUUCCUCCAUUCUGGUCCUAAAGAUUUCUAGGUCCGCGUCUGGGGGACGAUAGAUCACGCCGAUAAUAAGGUUCUUCCGGUUUUUACCACUUAUCUCAACAAAAAGGGAGUCACUAUGAUUGUCUGCUAUGACAAUAUCAUCACAGACAUUCACAUUGUAUGCAGAGGAGAUAUAUAGGCACACACCACCACCAGAUCUGCCACAUCUGUUCUUGGUGAACAACUUAUAACCAUUAAGACUUAAGAUGUCAAUGUAUGAUCUAUCAUUCAACCAAGUUUCACUACAACCUAUUGCAUCAAAGUUGCAGCCUGUACUUGUAAGAAGAGUAACUAGAUUGUCAUAGUGCUUGUUCAGGCUUCUGAUAUUUAAAUGUAGGAAUGAACAAUUAUUCCUAUUCGUCAAUGCUUUUAGUUGCUCAGGUUUAUACUGUUUGCAACUUAUGUUUCUAUAAUAGUCAAUACACUGUGUCACCUCCUCUCCUUCGCUGUCUAAUUCAUUAAAUACCAUUAAUAAAGUAGCUGGUGCAAUUUACUGAAAUCCUGUAAUCAACACACAUCCUUAUGAAAAUGUAAAUAUACAUAUACUCAUCCAUUCUGAAAACGACCCAGCCAUCAUACACACAUACAGUCAUACACUCAGAUUCACAGUAAUCCUCUGUGAACAUUACCAAACUAUAUUGCCACAGAGCAGACAAGCAAACAAGGAGAGCCUUGUUCUGUUCAGUUAAGUAGUAUUUGUGCCUAUUCCUAAGCCAAAUUGAGAAAAAAAGAAAAGAAAAAACAAUAAUAGUAAUAGUAGUAAAUAAAACAGAAGAGAGAGUGAGAGAGAAGAUGAGGACUGAUGAGAGGAGAAGAGAGAGUGUGGGAAAUUAACCGUCUUCCAAGGUCCUCAGUUGUCAUGGUGACAGAGACGCGAUUUGGAGACGUCAUCACCAUGCGUCUGUGUUUACACUUGCGGGGCGGCCGCAUGUGACAUCUUGACGGACUGUUCCUCUUGGAAGUUAGGCAUGAUGUUUUUGUCUCCUUUACUAAGCCAGUAAGUUAUUCGGGGGUUCGUGUAAAGUUUGCCGUCGAUGUAAAGCUUGUCAAUGGACAGACGAGCGUUCUGUUUGGCUUUCCUCGCCUCGGCCAUGAUCGGGUGUAGCAACCUUCGUCUGUUCAUGAUCUCCGGCGGGAACUGGUCGCCGAUGGAGUAGUUGGUGCCCUUUAGCUCUCUACCCCUCGACAUGACGGCAGACUUCAUUUUGGAGUCAACGGCUUUAGCCACAAUGGGACUUUGUAGACCUUUAAACUUAAAAUUAUCUAUCCCGCAUACUUUGAAAUGUUGGUAUAUAAUAGUAGGUUUUCUCUGAUAAUAACGAAUAAAAUAUAAAUGUUUUUUAAUACGUGCUAUCAAUGUUCUGCCCGUUUCUCCAAUAUAGAUUUUGUGACAUUUAUAACAUUGGAUAUAUAGGUAGACCUCGACCCGUGAUCCUAUUCAACAAAAAGGGUGAAUAUCCUAACAUCAUACUUUGCCAUUUAUUAUUUUCUAUAUUAUGACCCAUGGCCGUAUGAACUAAUAUAUCCUUUAAAUUUUUAUUCCUUCUAUAGGCCCGUAUUAUUUUUACAUUUUUCAUCUCCUCCUGUUCUUUUUGUAGUUUAACAAAAUUAUUUUUAAUAUUGAAAUGAAACGUCGCUAGAUGAUUCGAAAAGGUAGUUAUUAUCGGAACCAAUUUAUCGUUGUAAUUUUCUUUUGAAUCAGCGGGUGAGUUGAAUUUUUUCCCUGCACUUAACACAACGGGGCUAAAAACAAAUGCUAUUUUAUAUUUGCUGUAUUUUUCUGCCGCACAUUGCCGGUGUUCUGACAAAGUUGGCAUGCGCGUAACGUUAAAAAGGACCGCGAAUGCAGCGAUUCCAAAGUACACACUACAAACUUUCUUUAAAGAAAGAAAUAUUAACUUACGUUUGCCGUGUUAGGUGCACACAACAACUGCACGUAGCCUUCUCACUUAACGACUUCGCCAUGUUGUUAAGCAUUAAUUUAUGCAAUUUCGGUGUUGCACAUGUAUGUUUAUGAUGUAAAUAGUUUUUUAGCACCAUUGCAUAACAUUGAGAGUCCAACUGAAUAUAAAAGAGGGCUUUUUUCACCGCCACAAAAGCUCAUUUGGGAGCAAAAUUUUAUAAGUGUGCAAAAUUUGACAGGACACCGGUCCGUGAUAAAAAGACCCAAAUCACACCGGUCCGUGGUGCAAAAAAGGUUGGGGACCCCUGCUUUAGAGCAUUCAUGGCAAAGGUUGACCCCACAUAUGUCCUGCCCAGUCGACAAGCAGUAAAGGCACUAAUAACAAAUAAAUAUCAAGCUGCAAAGGAGAAGGCCAUAAAUAAGUUGGAGAAGGUGGAGUCAGUAAGCCUAACUUCUGAUAUGUGGACGUCCAUCAACAUGGAUGCCUACCUUGGCCUUACCUGUCACUACAUAAAUGACAAUAUGGAGCUAGAAAGUGUCUUUCUAGGUGUAGAACAUUUUCCACUCUCGCACACAGCAGAGCAUAUAAGAGAUGCACUGGACACUGAGGCAAAAGAUCCACUGAUGCAGCAAAUAUGACUCUAAGCGCAAAAUUACUCAACAUCAGAAACGUGCCAUGCCUUGCACACGGUUUUGAUUUAAUUGUGAAAAAGGCACUUGAGCAAACCACUCGUAUUUCAGAAAUACGAACCAAAGCCAGGAACAGUCACAUUUUUUAAGACAAGCACAACUGCCAAACAGAAACUGUGCGAGCUUCAGCAGCAUUUCAACCAGCCAGCCCACAAACUCCUCCAAGAAGUAGAGACACGUUGGAAUUCAACAUAUUACAUGCUGCAACGGUUGUAUGAACAACGAGAGGCAAUCGGUGCGGCUUUAGCUGUGCUGAGGACAGACAUCCCACCUCUGUGAUUUACAGAAUUUGAAACAAUAAGUCAAUGUUUAGAGGUUCUUGGACCAUUCAGCCUGGCCUCAACUGAAUUGUCAGCAGAGAAAACUGUUUCGGCCUCAAAGGUCAUCCCAAUCAUCCGGAUGGUGCAACAUAAAUUAUCCAUUAAGUCCUCGGAACUUAAAAAUCACAGUCAUGUCCUUACUGCAGAACCUGCAGCAACUCUUAAUGACUAGGUGCAGUGUAGAAAACAUUCGAAUAUUGGCAAUGGCAACAGUUUUGUAUCCACGUUUUAAAACUAUUGCAUUUGGGAACCGAUCACAUGGUCAAGAAGCGGUUUCAAGAUUGACCGCAGAAUGUGCUAGAGUCAUGCAACUUGACCGAGCGACACCAUCAACAUCACAGGUACAUUGCUAUUUUUAACUGUUUAUUUUUCUUCUUCAUGUACAAACAGCAUGGUUAUUGGAUAUCUUUAAUUAUUUACUUUAGGAACCAAUGGGUGAGGAUGAGCCUGCAACGGAAAAGGAAGACAGCCUGUGGGAUCUUUUUGACAGCCGAGUUGGCAAGAAAGUUCUCGUGCUCAGCACCAAGCACAGGGAGCCUCUCAGGACAGCAUGAAGCAAAAGCCAGAAAUGAUUCUGGCUUACAACCGGUGCAAAGGUGCUGUAGACCGCCUGGACCAGGCCUGCAGCACCUACUCUGUCCACCGGCGGGCACAGAGAUGGCCAUGUGCCUCUUCUACCACAUGGUUGACGUUUCGUGCUACAAUGCGUUCGUGCUGUACACCGAGAUAACCCGGACUGGAAUGCCACUAAGCGCUACAAGAGGAGACUUUUCCUCGAGGAGCUUGGCAUGGCACUAAUACAGCCGGAAAUCGUACACCGAUCGCUAAUAACGGACCGACAGGUAGCCUUUCCCUUUCAAGCGCCAGAGGCGGAACCUGGACCUUCGCCUUAAAGGAAACAGUGCGGACUUUGUCGAAGCCCACUGCGGGCAUCGAACGUUUGCACAAAAUGUGGCAUACCUGUGUGCAAAAAGCACAUGAAUCCAGUUUGCAAGAACUGUUUAAACAAAAAAAAGUUGUUCAUGUUCAUUUUUGUUCACCAUUGGUUUAUUGUUCAUGUUGUUCAUUGUUUGUUGGCUGUUUAUAAAUUCUGUUAACUAUAAAUCCUUUGUUGUGACUCUUUGACCUUUACAAGGUUCUAAUUAUUUUGUAUAAAAUAGGUCUGAUACCACAGAAUAUUUUGAGUGGUCAAAAGUUAAAAAAAAAAAAAAAAAAAUUCAGAAAUGACACACUACAGAGGUCUGCCAAUUUCCAGACAAAAAAUCCUCUUUCAGGGUAAAAAAUAGAAAAUUGCCAUUGCCAAAAAAAUGUGCAUGCUACAAAAAAUCUGUUGUUAUGAUUUAUUAACAUAUUCAAGGCUCUAAUUACUCGUAUCAAAUAUUCCACUUUUUAAAAAAAUUUUUAUAUAGAUGUACACAUAAUUACUUUUUUGCUUUUAUUGUACAUAAAGGGUACCCAAAACAAAUAAAUAAAUCAAAACUAUAUGGGUAGGUCUGAUGCCACUGAAUAGUCUGAGAGGUCGAAAGUCAAAAAAUAUUCAUAAAUGACUUAGUUAUCACACUUCAAAGGCAGAGCCAAUUUUUGGACAAUUAACAAUUAACUUUGGGUUAUCAAUUUGAGCCCAAACGAAAGCCAAUGCAGCCUAAUGAAACGAUCAUUGAGGGGAGCAAUCACACUGAUGAAACACCGGCAACAGAUCGUGUGGGAAACACCGAAUGGUUUGUUUUGCAUUUCUUUUUGUGAAGCUGAUACACCGUGACUGCAAAAUAAAUGUAUAGAACAAUUAUCAUUUAUUGUGCUAUGAUAGGUUUUUGCGCUGCCAACAGACACAAAUAUGAAUGGGAUUACAGGAUUUGUUGUAUAUAUUUUACGAGCGAUUAAUUUAUACAUGUGUCCAGUCCUAUAUCCAAUGCGCGAUAUUUUUUUUAUUAUAACAUAGGAGGAGAGUUUGUGGCUGCUUUUGGAGACUUACAGCAGCAUCCUGGCGCCGUGCUGCCUUCUCCUCUCUUCUCUCCAUUUUCCAUUCCACUUGCACUGCUGUCUUAGACUCCAUUGCCCCUCUUCGGCAAAAAAGCUCCAAUUCCAAAGCCGCUCUAUGGUUUAACGACUAUACCCGCCUGCUCAGGCAGAAAUGCAGGCGGGCUGAAUGCCAAUGAAAAAAGGACAAACUCCAUGUUUCUCUGGGAUUGCUGAGGGACACCUUAGCUGCCUACCAGGAGGCCAUAAAACAGGCCAAGUCUAAUUAUUUAUCUUCGAUUAUAAAUAAUAGCUCCAGUCAUCCAAGACUGCUUUUUAACACUACUGAUUCUGUUUCAAACCCACAACCCACUGUCUUAACUUAUGUGUCAGCUGCCACAUGUGAAGAGUUUCUCACUUUCUUUCAAAACAAAGUCUCUUCAGUUAGACAAAAUGUCUGCAACUCUGGUUUCUCAUCCGAUAACGUAUGUCCUUCAGAACUGCUCAAUACCUUUGAGCAAUUUGAUCAUAUUUCAUUGACAUCUCUCACCAAAAUAGUUAGUGGCAUGAAACCCACUAACUGUCCAUUAGAUGUAAUACCAGCUAGGCUUCUGAAGGAAGUCUUUAGUUGCCUUGAAUCAAGUCUGCUGUCCCUCAUAAACACCUCUCUCAGUUCCGGUUCUGUCCCAGCUGCCUUCAAACAGGCUGUAGUCAGACCCCUUCUUAGGAAAACCCAUCUCGACUCCUCUGUGCUGUCCAAUUUUAGACCCGUCUCCCACUUGUCUUUCCUUUCCAAAGUUUUAGAAAAAGUUGUUUUUAUUCAAUUGCAAACCUUCUUAGAGACAAACUCCACCCUUGACAGGUUCCAAUCAGGCUUCAGGUCCAGACACAGCACUGAGUCAGCAUUGUUAAAAGUGCAUAACGACAUUGCCCUUUCUGUGGAUAAUGGAAACCCGGCUAUCCUUGUUUUACUGGACCUCACACAGCAGCAUUCGAUACAGUUGAUCAUACAGUCCUUGUAGCUCAUUUAGAACAUGUCAUAGGUAUCCGUGGUAACGCUCUAAAAUGGUUUAAAUCGUACCUACAACAUAGAACAUUCUCGGUAAUGAUUGGGGAAUUUUCCUCCUCACAAACUUCUCUGUCUUGCGGGGUACCGCAAGGCUCUAUUUUAGGGCCUGUUCUUUUUGCGCUUUAUUUCCUACCUAUAGAAUCAAUUUAAAAAAAAAACAUAAUAUCGCUUUUCAUUUUUAUGCUGAUGACCUGC